Molecule: ribosomal RNA, 429 nt
Filed under: Bacteroidota bacterium
Lineage: Bacteria; Pseudomonadati; Bacteroidota
Description: Bacteroidetes bacterium partial 16S ribosomal RNA
Rfam family: Bacterial small subunit ribosomal RNA
Source: RNAcentral
UAGGGCAUCUUCCGCAAUGGACGCAAGUCUGACGGAGCAACGCCGCGUGAGUGAAGAAGGAUUUCGGUUCGUAAAACUCUGUUGUUAGAGAAGAACAGCGCAUAGAGUAACUGUUAUGCGUGUGACGGUAUCUAACCAGAAAGCCACGGCUAACUACGUGCCAGCAGCCGCGGUAAUACGUAGGUGGCAAGCGUUGUCCGGAUUUAUUGGGCGUAAAGCGAGCGCAGGCGGUCAAUUAAGUCUGAUGUGAAAGCCCCCGGCUCAACCGGGGAGGGUCAUUGGAAACUGGUUGACUUGAGUGCAGAAGAGGAGAGUGGAAUUCCAUGUGUAGCGGUGAAAUGCGUAGAUAUAUGGAGGAACACCAGUGGCGAAGGCGACUCUCUGGUCUGUAACUGACGCUGAGGCUCGAAAGCGUGGGUAGCAAACAGG